GGCGCGCUCUUCCCCUCCCCCGCGGCCGGGAGCUCGAGCCUCUGUGACGUCACGGGCCACCCGCCAGCCCCGCGCUCCGCCGGGCAGAGCGCGUGCGGCCGCCGAGCACAUGGGCCCGCGGGCCGGGAGGGCUAGGGGCGACCGGGCAGAGGAGGAGCAGCGAGGAUCCGCGAGCAAGGAUGGGUCCCCGCACCUACCGGAGCCCCCCAGAGGAUUUCCACGAGGAAGGAUGUUGGCCGCUCCGGUGACCCGUGGGACACGGCUGGAUCCACCCUCCAAUCAGGUUAGUAUCGCUGGCACACUCUUCCGGGUCUCACCAAGAGUUGACAUGAGACACUGAGGACAGAAGGAGGAGAACGAGUCCUGGCCUCUCCAGAUCGCUGACUGGAGGCUUUAAAGAGCCCCCCGCUCCUGAAGUGCCGGGUGCCAGCAGAGCAGCUGCCUGUCAGUUGGAGGUUUGUGCCAGCCCUCGUCCCGCCCCAGGCCAUCGCUGCGAAAGUUUACUUAGUGAAAUGUGCCUGUGACUUCAGGCCUGAACUUUGGACCAGAAGGAGGUUAAGAAGAUGCUGCUCAACACAGCUGCGCUGCCAGUUCAAGGAGCCUCACUCAAGAUCUUCCCUGAGCCUGAUGGAUUUAUAGCGAUGUUCCGUCUCCUGGGGAAUAAGACUGGUGGAGUCUUGCCCUGGAAUUACACACACGCGACACGUUUCAGGAUGGUACAAGAGAUUUUUAAGGAAGACCCCGGCCAAGGGCUUUGUGGUUUCUUCCAGCUUGGAUGCCCUCAGGGGCCAGACUGGACCAAGGAUCACAGCUGCCAGCUCCCUCGGGCUCCCUCGGGCUCGCUCUGAAACAAUCCGGUUAAACCUGGGACUUAGGUGCUUUUUUCAUCUGAGAAAAGGCAUAUCCAUUCAGCACUCCAGGAUUUGAGCGCCGCCCUUCCCUGAACUAAAGAUGGGAUGUUCCAGGCUCACGAGAGGACCCCUGGCUCCACCCAUGGAGGUGCCACCACCCGGCGACCACCGUCCGGAGUGUCUCUGCCUGCCGUUCUCCCAGAGCGACGCUCCCCGUCCCAGCCGGUCUCCACUUCCGCGGCGUUCCUCUCCAGGGCUCACCCUUCACCUCUCCGCUCCCUUGGGAUCCAGGUUUAUCUGAGGAACAGGAACACGUUCACCCUCUGGCAGGUUGCGGAGCCCACAAGGAGACCUGAGAGCCCUGUGUGCUUGCGGCUUGUCCACCCGGGGCCGGGAAGAAGGCUCUUGGCCCUUCUGAGCCUCCUUCCACCUCUGCAGAGGGGACCGUUCUCAGGAUCAGGUGACAUUUUUGUCUGUGACCCUGCAAGACCCUGAAGAUGCUGCACCAGUGGGCACGGAGCCAAUGCGUGCUUUGGUUCUUUAGACCUGAACUCGGUCAGCUGCCCCUGAAAGCAGAGCACCGGAAGGCCUCUGGUGUCCCCCAGCGUCACCCCCCACACGGCCACCACCCAUUUUCCAGCUGAUGAAAUUGCUAGGGUUUAACUGGAGUCGGCGAUGGGAGCAAAAACCCAAGGCAGCGCCCAGGUGCGUAGUGCCGUGAUGCUGUAUCUGCUCCCCGCUCCACCCCGUCACCAACCACCGUGAACUUGAACAUAAACCUCCAUAUACGUGUUCAGAACAAACUUUGUUUUCAGGAGACGUUUAAAGGUGGUGCAGCAUCGUAAAGGUGGUCCCAAAAGUUCCCGAACACCCUGCAGAUAGGGUGUCUGUCUGUUUUCUCAUCUCCUUUGUGUAUUUGGGUUUUGUGGAUGGAAGUCACCAUGCACAGCCAGUGUUGCGGAGCGGGGAUUUGCCAGGCUCUGCGGUGCACACCUGAAUCCCAUGACUCAGGGGCUGAGGCACGAGGAUCUCCAGUUCCAGGCCAGUCUCAGCAUCUUAUCAAGGCCCUUGGCAACUUAGUGAGACCCUGUCUCAAAAUAAAAAGGAUUGGGCACAUAGCUCAGUGGUAAAGCACCCCCUGGGUUCAAUCCCCAGUCGCCCCUCUCCCCAAAAUAAAAGAGGGAGUGGGAGUUUAUGUUCCCUCUUCUUUAUGCAGAGAAUAUCUACAUAGAGUUUUUUGGAAUUUUUUUACAUGGGAGAUUUGUCCCUUCUCUCUCAUUUAUUUACUAUUAUUGCUAUGGACUCAUGUUUAUUUCAUA
Molecule: long non-coding RNA, 2170 nt
Organism: Sciurus carolinensis (gray squirrel)
Lineage: Eukaryota; Metazoa; Chordata; Mammalia; Rodentia; Sciuridae
Exons: 5
Source: RefSeq, a predicted model, not a curated record